GACAGAGGGUGCAAACGUUGCUCGGAAUCACUGGGCGUAAAGGGCGUGUAGGCGGGACGGUAAGUCGGGCGUGAAAUCCCUAGGCUCAACCUAGGAACUGCACUCGAAACUACCAUUCUUGAGUGUCGGAGAGGAAAGCGGAAUUCCUGGUGUAGCGGUGAAAUGCGUAGAUAUCAGGAGGAACACCUGCGGUGUAGACGGCUUUCUGGACCAUUGUUGACGCUGAGACACGAAAGCGUGGGUAGCAAACAGG
This 253-nucleotide ribosomal RNA is filed under the name uncultured bacterium. RNAcentral describes it as "partial 16S ribosomal RNA". It matches the Rfam family "Bacterial small subunit ribosomal RNA", at positions 524 to 776 of the family's 1533-position model. The record is from RNAcentral.